Long non-coding RNA from Rosa chinensis, 890 nucleotides. RefSeq lists it as uncharacterized. The transcript is spliced from 3 exons. NCBI's taxonomy places the organism in Eukaryota, Viridiplantae, Streptophyta, Magnoliopsida, Rosales, Rosaceae. The record is from RefSeq and is a predicted model, not a curated record.
CUUCACCUACCUGCUUUUGUUUUUCUCCAUCCGACCUCCACCAGCAGGAACACUCAGAAAAGCAAAAGUUCACGGAGUUGUCCUGUAUAUUUUUAUAUUUUGAAUUCUAGUUUGAGUUCCGCUCUCUAUAUAAGGAGCUUUAAGUUUCAUUUGUAAGGCAUCGAAAAAUUGAGUAGAAGAGUCUUCUCUCAAAGAGUACGAAAGCCAUAGUAGCAAUGUGUUUUCUAUAGUGUGCUUUCAUAAACAAGACGAUAUAUCGAGCUACUACUUGACGAAGGAACUCAUUUGCGUGGUCGCUAACCAGUACUUUUGCAGGUAUUAUUAGUUGAGGUCGGGCGUACAUGGUUUGAGGCAUAGUUGACGAAUAGCUUCCGCACUUCUUUGUUUGGCUCUGAUCUAUUGUGGGUUAGUGUUUUGGGUAGUCCACUUUAGGGAUGACUCGGCCAAUUCUAGGUAGAGUUAUCUCUAAGGUGGGCCACGUAGGGCCACCUCGGAUUUCAGGGUGAAAUCCGGGGCGGGUCUUGUCAAUAAAAGUGAACGUAUUUACAGACACACACACAAACUUUAAAAAAAAAAUAAAAAAAAAUAAAAGUUAAAUAUAUAUUACAUAAUCACAAAGAGUUGAGGGCAAGGUAUACAUAUAUAAUAGACAUCAAUCAAUGUAGGCUUGUAGCAGCAUGUAUGCAUUAGAGGUGGAAAAAAAAAAAAAAACAUAAAAGAGACAUUUAGAUGUUGGUUGGUGCAUGCGCACAGGUUGUACCGACGUUCAUAGCAUUAUUCUGCAUCUUAAUUGGUGCACGUCCUUUUGUUUUAGUGUUGUCAUGGUGUCUGUUAAAAACAAAGUAUAUAAACGCAUGAUCAUUUCUAUGACAUUGAUUCGGAAAACCUCU